RNAcentral lists this long non-coding RNA (567 nucleotides) under Homo sapiens (human). RNAcentral describes it as "HSALNT0394105". The record is from RNAcentral. Lineage: Eukaryota; Metazoa; Chordata; Mammalia; Primates; Hominidae.
GGUUAGCUUGUUGCUGACUUUGAAAAUUUAUCUGAGCAAACCACUUCAAUUUUGCACAGUAUGACUAAAAUCUUGGAGUCAUAAAGGACAGAAGAAAGAAGUCAGUGAAGUUUAGCUGCUGUGCCCUGAGGGGUGAGGGAAAUGUGGUCGCCUAAAACACCAUCAAAGGUUGCUGCUUAAACACUUCCCUCAGCCAUAUAUGAAGGCUAAAUCAGAUAAAGAUCCCAGGAAGUGUGCAACAGGAGAACCAGUGACACAAUCCACCUUGGUAUGAGUGUCAGCCAUCUUGUCUUUCAACUGGAAAGCUAGAAGUGACAGCAUGGUAUAUUAAGAGGUCUCUGCUUGAAUAAAUUGAUGUCAAGUUUUAUUACAUAUAGACCAAGCUAGAAGGCACAAGACAACCACUCAACAACUAUGUAUUAAACAACGAAAUCAACGAAAUGGCAUACAGCAGUAUUUCAAAUUCUUGAAAUACAGAUAGGGACAGGCAAAAACUGUAUUCUCUAGAAGGCUGAAGUCAGCCAAAGAAAAUGCACAGUAAACACAAAUCGAGAUAUUUAUAAGAUC